RNAcentral lists this ribosomal RNA (221 nucleotides) under Salmonella enterica subsp. enterica serovar Senftenberg. Its description in RNAcentral is "partial 23S ribosomal RNA". It matches the Rfam family "Bacterial large subunit ribosomal RNA", at positions 1 to 222 of the family's 2925-position model. RNAcentral also lists the same sequence under 1 other name. The record is from RNAcentral. Lineage: Bacteria; Pseudomonadati; Pseudomonadota; Gammaproteobacteria; Enterobacterales; Enterobacteriaceae.
GGUUAAGCGACUAAGCGUACACGGUGGAUGCCCUGGCAGUCAGAGGCGAUGAAGGGCGUGCUAAUCUGCGAUAAGCGCCGGUAAGGUGAUAUGAACCGUUAUAACCGGCGAUACCCGAAUGGGGAAACCCAGUGUGAUUCGUCACACUAUCAUUAACUGAAUCCAUAGGUUAAUGAGGCGAACCGGGGGAACUGAAACAUCUAAGUACCCCGAGGAAAAGA